AAUAAUUGCAGGGUUGUGGGUUUCAGUGUCUAACGUUUGACCGUUCGUCUUAUUUGAAUUUUUUUUAUGAUUUAUGUUUUUAUUGUUAUUAGAUGAUAAAAUAUGAAUACUAUUUUAUGUGUGACUUAAUUUUUAAAAUAUUUCUAUAAACUUUUUAAAUAAGACGGACAGAUAAAUGUUGGGUAUAGAAACUUAUGGUUGUACUUGAA
This is a non-coding RNA of Oryza meridionalis, 209 nucleotides long. The record is from Rfam. NCBI's taxonomy places the organism in Eukaryota, Viridiplantae, Streptophyta, Magnoliopsida, Poales, Poaceae.